This 460-nucleotide ribosomal RNA is filed under the name uncultured bacterium. RNAcentral describes it as "partial 16S ribosomal RNA". It matches the Rfam family "Bacterial small subunit ribosomal RNA", at positions 338 to 795 of the family's 1533-position model. The record is from RNAcentral.
CCUACGGGAGGCAGCAGUGAGGAAUAUUGGUCAAUGGACGCAAGUCUGAACCAGCCAUGCCGCGUGCAGGAAGACGGCCCUAUGAGUUGUAAACUGCUUUUGUACGAGGGUAAAUCCCGAUACGUGUAUCCGGUUGAAAGUAUCGUACGAAUAAGGACCGGCUAACUCCGUGCCAGGAGCCGCGGUAUUCCGGAGGGUUCAAGCGUUAUCCGGAUUUAUUGGGUUUAAAGGGUGCGUAGGCGGUUCGAUAAGUUAGAGGUGAAAUCCCGGGGCUCAACUCCGGCACUGCCUCUGAUACUGGCGGGCUAGAGUUUAGUUGCGGUAGGCGGAAUGUAUGGUGUAGCGGUGAAAUGCAUAGAGAUCAUACAGAACACCGAUUGCGAAGGCAGCUUACCAAACUACGACUGACGUUGAGGCACGAAAGCGUGGGGAGCAAACAGGAUUAGAUACCCGUGUAGUC